AUGGUUUUAUGAUAAAGAAUAUAAAGUCUGGCCUGCCCACUGAUAUUAGUAAAGGGCUGCAGUAUUAUGACUGUACAAAGGUAGCAUAAUCAUUAGUCUUUUAAUUAAGGACUGGUAUGAAAGGUUAGACGAGGGGUUACUGUCUCAAAAAUAACUAAUGAAAUUUUCUUUAGUGUGAAAAGACACUAGUGAGUGAGUGGGACAAGAAGACCCUUUUAAGCUUUAAUGGAGUUUCAAAGAGUAAAAUAAUUAUAAUUUAUUCUAAGAUAUUUAAAUUUUGGCUGGGGCGGCAGAAAAAUAACAAUAAAUUAUAAAGAUAAUAUAUAAUUAGAUUAAACUAAGAACGUGUAAUAUGCACUCAAAGAACAAGCUACUAAAGGGAUAACAGGGUAAUAUUUCUUAGAGUUCAAAUCGACAGAAAUGGUUACCA
This 430-nucleotide ribosomal RNA is filed under the name Choneiulus palmatus. RNAcentral's name for it is "partial 16S ribosomal RNA". It matches the Rfam family "Bacterial large subunit ribosomal RNA", at positions 1825 to 2523 of the family's 2925-position model. The record is from RNAcentral. Lineage: Eukaryota; Metazoa; Arthropoda; Diplopoda; Julida; Blaniulidae.